AGGGCAGUUUUUUUUUUUCUUCUCAGAUUUAAGUGAUUUAAGCAUUUAAGUCCGCCGCGCAUGUGUUCUUGUGUGUUCCUUUUCAAUCGGUGGGGAUGGCGUCGGAAGCGGCAGAUGACUCGGAACGUGGGGCCAGCCAGGGCCCCUCUGGCAGCCUGGGUCCUUGGGCUACAGCCCCCUUAGCCCGUGCAUUAAUCCUGCCCUGGUGGGUGUGCCAAGCAUGACCGGAAGGAAAGUUUUGAAACGAGAUGACCUGUAUGCUGUACCUUGCCACUCAUCGCUGCUAGGAAUUUUUUGACACUUAAGAAGCAUGAAAAAAGCUGUGUCAUGCAGAGGACAUGUUGGGCCUUGAGAGUGAGAUUGAUCUUGGCUAAGGAAGAAGGAAAAAAAAGACAACAGAGAGCACUAAGUUCCAGCCCAGAAGCUGUAAUGAGACCGUCGUUGCCGCCACACUUCAUGAUCAAAAAAGCAGCUGGGAGACGUAGAUGAUCACUACCACAUUCGUUGGCAAGCUCCCAACCUUCAACACCUUCAGUAUCUGUGGCACAUGAUGAAACACUGCCAAAGAAUGGUGAACGAAUUGUACCGCAUGGAAAGAAUCUGCAUUCAACUGCGAUUCCGAAGACAUGUUUCAACAGGACACGUAAGCUAGGCAUUGCCUGUUUCGGGUUUAUGUGUCAGGCUUUAUAAUGCAUUCUUUUCGCUCGGAGAGCCAACCUAACCAGAAAAGCUAUGAACCACAGCAGCGCACCUCAUGGCAUUCAAGCAGAGUGCAGCAAAAUCCAGCAUCUGAGGAACAUACACUAACAAGCCCUAGGCCAUGUACCAGCAACGCAUAUGACUGCGAAAUUCGUGAAAGCUCCAGAUCAGAGGACACCGGCCCGUAGACGAAACGUGGGCCCAGUACUUGCGAUAAGAAGGCUAAACAGGCAGAUGGUUUGGCUUCUGCAGACUAUACUCAUCAGGGUUGAGCAUCAAGGCACCCAACUGGACGCCAUAUCCGCCAGGCUUUCUGAUGGCGGACUCGAGCUUCAAGAAGACUUAGAAGGACCAUUUUCUAAUAUACAAGACUUCGAAACGUUUGAUCAGGACUUGUCGGAGAACAAUGUGAUGAGGUUGAAGUUGAGCCCUUCUCUGUCUGAGGAUCGAGCUGUGUGAAACAACAUACAAGUCUGAAGUUUUUAGUUUCGGAUUAUGUUUUCUUGUGAUAAUUUUUUCAUAGUUUUUAGUCUUUUUCAAAGCUGUGCAAUCUUUCAGAAUUAUAAUCCUGUUCCUGAAAGUAAAGUUUAUAUUUCAGUC
This 1299-nucleotide unclassified non-coding RNA is filed under the name Ixodes scapularis (black-legged tick). RNAcentral's name for it is "uncharacterized LOC115311408, transcript variant X1". The record is from RNAcentral. Lineage: Eukaryota; Metazoa; Arthropoda; Arachnida; Ixodida; Ixodidae.